AUUGAACGCUGGCGGCAGGCCUAACACAUGCAAGUCGAACGAGUGGCGGACGGGUGAGUAAUGUCUGGGAAACUGCCUGAUGGAGGGGGAUAACUACUGGAAACGGUAGCUAAUACCGCAUACCAUCGGAUGUGCCCAGAGGGGAUUAGCUAGUAUGUGGGGUAAAGGCUCACCUAGGCGACGAUCCCUAGCUGGCAUGAGAGGAUGACCAGCCACACUGGAACUGAGACACGGUCCAGACUCCGACGCGAGGCAGCAGUGGGGAAUAUUGCACAAUGGGCGCAAGCCUGAUUCAGCCAUGCUGCGUGUAUGAAGAAGGCCUUCGGGUUGUAAAGUACUUUCAGCGGGGAGGCGUUACCCGCAGAAGAAGCACCGGCUAACUCCGUGCCAGCAGCCGCGGUAAUUC
This 406-nucleotide ribosomal RNA is filed under the name uncultured bacterium. Its description in RNAcentral is "partial 16S ribosomal RNA". It matches the Rfam family "Bacterial small subunit ribosomal RNA", at positions 30 to 526 of the family's 1533-position model. The record is from RNAcentral.